UUUCAUCAUGGCGUCUCGUGUGACAGACGGGAUGUGGUCUGUCGUGGCGGUAGAUCGCAACUUGAAGCAAAUGGCGUUGCGGUUUGUAAUGACGGGACUACUGUAAUUUCAUUGGUUGAAAUACUAUUGUAAUUCAUAUUGAAUUGUACAUACAUUCUACGAAUGUCUGUAACAUCGGUUGCAUAUUGAGUUUUUGUUAACUCUUAAAUGAAUGUUCCUUCAAAAUAAAAUUUGUAAAAAUUUUAGUUUUUGUGUAUGUAAAUUAUUCUUUUUUAUUAAAAAAUGGUUCUUUUGUCAGAUUACACAGGCCAACAUGGUAAAUGAUAUGCGGGCAGUUCAGCUACUUAUCGGCGGAAAUGGUCGUGGAGUGUUUUUGCCGAGGAAGUUUCAGCAUAAAUGUUAAUCAGAGUUAAAUGGCAUCUUGACAUCUUCUGUAUGAUGAAGACGUGCUCUAUGGCCAUUGCUCCUUAAUGGGUAUAUAUGACUUCUGGCAGUACUGGCUCACUGAAAGCAACGUUAUUGGUGCCUUGUGGAUGAAGUAAGGUGGAGUGUGAAACUGCACCAGCAUCAUGUACAUCUGCAAGCACAAAUAUUCUCCAGUUUGUGGAUCGUUUAUUGAUGGCUAUACGAUUUUUGUCACAUUUUUUCCAGUGAAUCGUGUGAGAGGCAGGGUUUUGUAAUGAUCCCAUGGAUUCUAAUGCAGGAAGCCAUAAUUUCUGUGAAAACUGGUGGAUGCUCAUUGAAUUCUAUAAGGAAACACACAUGGUCCUGUUGAUUGGCUAUUUCAGAAGAUUGAGUUCAACAACAUGCUGUCUGUGGCUCAUGAAUAGUUACCCACAUGAGUGGAUUUCCAUGAUGGGCCAAAACUGCAGGCGGGCAGUUUCUGCGGGUAUCUGUAAUGGAUCGAGCCUGCUGAUCUGAAGCCAUUCGGUUCCAACUAAUGUGUAGACUGUACUGUCCAAUCCAGUCUUACCAAUCUGCCGACGGGCCGAGUCUGUUCAUGUGUGGUGUAUCACAGCGGAUUUUCAUAGUUUAUCCACAGACCCAGGACUUUUUUGCUCCUUAGCAGGCCAUAGGCCAUGGGCGAUGAAUUUCAGGAUUUGCAGCUGUCUCACUGCAAAUAUGUUCUACAGUGUGGCGUUUUGUAGACAUUUUAUUUGUUCUAAUAAAUUUUGGCAUUUAAAAAGUUUAUUUUUUGGAAAGUAUGGAUGAUAAGAAGAAGAAAAUUUAGUCGCUGGCAGUUUUUAAUAUGUACUCGUAUUUCUUGAAGGAAAAAUCACAAAAUGCCUGUAAAAUAAUAGGUGUAACACAGUGGGUAAUAAGUGACAAUAACAAACAUAGUAGAGCCAACAUUUUAUUGUUGCUCACCUAUAGUCUUUGUUUACACAAUUCUUCCGCAUCUUAACUUCUUCCGUGAGCCUACUUUUCUCUGAGGUUAUUUUUUAAAUCAGAGAAGAUAUUUUAAAUUCGUCUUGCAACUCCAAGGAAAAGUGUAUUUUUGUCACCAAAUGUUUUGUUGCGUUGAAUUAAAACAUUAGUGAUCUUAAUGAAAAAACACACACACACACACACACACACACACACACACACACACACACACACACACCAUUUGGCUUGCAUUCUCCAUCUAAACAAUUCAUCACAAAAGACGUUGUUUUUAGUGCCAAAGAUUUUUGUUCACAUCAGGAAACACCAUCUGGUUAAAAGUUUUUUAUAGAUAUUUCCUCAUUUACACUAUUGUUUCUUGUACUGUAGCUGCGAACACAGAUUGUCAACUUACUUUUUAACUUACUGUUGGGAUCUCGGAAUUUGUCAGGGAAAAAUGUUAAAACUUGUUGGAAAUCAGGGAAUGUCACUUGGGGAAACUUGUGUCAAUGCUGAGUCUAUUUUAGUGACACCGUUGAGCAAUUUGAAAAUAGGUACCUGAAUGAUUGAGUUAUUAUGUAAGUUUCUUAACAGCUCCUAAGCUUGAUGGCUGCUGUGCUCAAGUCAGUUUGUCAUCAGCUUUAUCUGUAGACCGUCCUGUGAUUCAGGUAUGCUGUUUAAAGAGCAUGCUCACUAAGAGGCCCUUCAUUGAAAAGCUUAUAACAUUCUUUUAUCGUGACAGCUGAUUGAGCUGUUCUCUUUUAGGUAGCUUGUUCUGCAGGUUUUUGGAACAGUUGUGUUUAAUAUUUGAGUGCAUUUGGAGUUCAAAUUAAGUGUGUUUGGAGAGACUGUGCAAUUUUUUGUCAAACAUAAAGAAAUGUUCAUCUGUCUUUAAGUUGUUCUUCCUCUUGAAUUAAAUCAUCCUGGGGUAUUCUGAAGAAAUGAUCUGCCACGUAAUUUGUCUAUGGUGAAAGCUUGAUAUACGUGCACCCCCCCCCCCCCCCUCUCUCUCUCUCUCUCUCUCUCUCUCUCUCUCUCUCUCUCUCUCUCUCUCUCUCUCUGGGAAUUGCUGCACUUACAAAGUUUAAGUCUGGAUAAUUUGCUGUGCCACAUUUUGUUGUUCAAUGAAGGAAGUAGUUUACUACUUGGAUAAUGAACAAGUUCUGAGCUUUGGUCCAUGACAUUAGCGCCUCUCCAGUUUGAUCCUUGUUUGUUCAGUCAUAAGUUACUGUUGGGGGGGGGGGGGGGGGGAGGGAGAGGUUAAAAUUGCCCAUCACAGUAGUUCUUAAUCUCCAUGUAUGUAAACCAACAGAUGUAUUGAGACAAUAUCCAACAUUGUUGGUUUGUAUGGGAAGAUGUUGUGUAGGUCUUGUUUUAUAAAAAUAGCACUACCAUAUUGACUAGUCUGCCAUCCACUAGCAACAUUCCUGGAGCAGUUGAAGUCUUUGUAAGUCACCUCUGUAUGUUCCUUUCAUUAAACAUUUCUUGAAUGAAUGCACAAAAUGUAUUUGUUAUCUCAGCCCAAAUUGUGUAAUGAUUGUCCUGUGACAGAAAUACUUUAUAUAAUUAUGAAUACAAAACAGGUUUUAGAAAACUGAUUUCACUUUUGUAUUUGAAAUAGGUUUGGUUUGUAAUUGCUUUUGUGGGACACUUUAAUGUUGUGACUUUAACUCUUUGCAGAUUCUCUGCACCAUUAACUAGUGGCAUAAGUUUCUUGUUUUGAUUAUGGCUGAUAAGUGGAUUUUGCCAGAAAUUGGUGACUAAGUUCCUAAAUAAAAUUUCAUUAGGAUAAAACAGAUUUUGGUUUUGUUUUUCGCUCUGUGAUGCAUUAAAGCAGUCCCUGUGAUGGGGAUGUUGAUCACCAAAUUUUAAUCAUAAGAUGCAUAAGCUAUGAUUUUCCAAUGUGUCAGGAAUGAGAUUUUUGUUGAACAAGAGAUACAAUGAUGGCACAUCAACAUGUUGGAUAAUUAGCGUCUUCUAAGUGGUGCCAUUCCUGUUGCUGUGUCAUUGUGUUAUUUUCAUAAAUGUUAACUUAUUGAAAGUGAUACAGAAUUUAUCAUUAACUUUUAUUGCUUGUUAGGCAUGGCAUAUUACUUAAACAUUAGUGUAAGUGGUCAUUAUCAGUUAAAAACUUCAAUGUUUAUUUUUGUAAAAGUUCUGUGAACUAAAUACUUAGAGUAGUUUACAGUAAAACAAAGAACUCUGUAGCCCAGUAGGUCAUGUGGCGUUAAAAUAAAUGGAUUUGAAACUGGCCAUUAGUAGUUAUAUAUUGUCUGCAAUCUACUGAAUGUUGGAUUUCUGUUAACACAACAAUUUAAUUUUUGUGCUGGAAUGUUAAAUAUAAGGUAGAUAAUUUUUAUGAAAUAUCCAGAGAUGACAUGAUCUUGCACUUCUGUACUAUUUACUAUAUACAUCUUAAAUAAAGACUUGUGCAAUAUAUACCGCAGUGCGAUUGUCUACUUCUGUUUAGUAUUAGAAUGGCUCUCUUAUACGUUGAAGUAGUGUAGUUUGAUUUAGUAAGAUUAUAAUUUUCCACCAUCCAAUAGGGAACAUUCCAAUAAUAGAAUGUUAUAAGUGGGAGGCAGAUAAAUCAAUGACGUGUUAUCAAGUGCCAGAGCAAUGAUGAAAAUUUUCAUACAUUCUUUCUGGCUGUAAAUAAAUAUGUGUAAGAACACAACAUGACAGAAAAUUAAGCACAUGUAAGAGGAGCAGGAAACACAGAAACUUCAUAGGUUGACACAUUAUUCGAUAUUGUUUCAGUGAUUACAAAAUUGUGGCAAAUUUACAAAAAACUAAGUAGUAUGAGCCCACUUAUUAGUAUGACAUUGCACCUCUUCUGGUCUGGGCACAUGCGUUGAUUUUGGUUAGGAAAGGUGUCGGAAACAAUUGUAACUUCUCCUGAGGUGAACUGAUCAUUUAAUCUCAGUACUGGCACUGGAAAUAUUGAUGUAUGAGCUGGUCCCAACAUAAUGCAGACAAUUCAUAGAUUCAUGCUGUUGAACACUGACACCUCAUUACUGUGGUGUGAGAGGCAGUAACACAGAAGACAGAAGAUGGCAGUGAUGUAAUCUUGCACUGAGAGUUACCUCAGUCACUACCAGUGAUGACCUGAUGUCAUACAUAAUGGCACCUCAUAAUGUGAUGCCAGGAAUAACACUGCUGUGCCUUUCCAAGACAUUGGAAGAAUAGGACUUCUCCACAUGUCGCCACCAUGCUCCUAAAUGGUCAUAUGGGGUAGUGCAGAACGUCGAAUCAUCACAGAAUACAGAACAGUGUGCUGAUGUUCAUCAGCUGUCCAAACUUUCUGGUCAUGGCACCACUCCAAACACAGCCGUUUGUGAUGUGGUAUUAAUGGUGGUAUGUGCACGGGGUGAAAAUCUGUCAGACUGCUGCUGGUUUCCAACCAAUGAUGCAAGAUGACACAGAAUAUUGCAAGGAGUCUAUUACUUGUUCUUUGAUGGUAGGUGCAAAUGUGAAAAGUCAGGAUUUGAGUGGUGCGCAAUACGGCAAUCCUCCCGUGUGAUGGUCAGACAUAAUCGACUGGGUACUUUAUAAGUACAGCUGAUCACACUUUCCUAUGUGGUUAGAUAUCAGGUCACUGUCACAGCCAAAUGCCCCAAAAAUCUAGAUAUUGGAAGAUUCAACCAGUCAGCCAAAUGGAGAUCCUUAAUAAUGACCACUUCACUGUCAGUGGCUUGCCCACCAAAGUGUGCAGCAUCUGUGUAGUUACAUUGAUAUCAGACCACAUCGUGUAAAUGCUUCAGUUUUUGUCGUGCAAUGUAUAGUAAAGAGGAAAUCUUAGAAGAAACAACAGGUAACUAAUUGUAGUUAUACUUAGAAAAUGUGUUCAAAAAUUUAAGUGUGCAUAUGUAUCACCUAUCAUUGUUGUAAAAGGGAUAUUGUUGUAAAGAAGUGAAAAGUAAUUUAUUGAAGCAAUGUCAUCUAGCCUGCUUAUGGUGAUGCUUGAGAGGCAUAGUUAUGGUGUAGUUAUAUACAUUUUCUGAAAUAUCAUUACAACUUUCUUGAAAGUUUAAUGAAAUGCUCUUGAGUUUUAACACUAGAUUCUUCUUCUUUUUCCUGCACACACCACAUUGAGGUUUGUGUUUUGAUAGGAAUGUAUGCCUCUUGCAUCUCUAAUUGCAAACUUUGUAUUAAUUAACAAGUGUUUGUCUCAACAUUUACACAAAGCUCAGUAGAACAUUCAUAGUAAAAGUAACAGUUCCCUUUAUGCUCUGCCGUCUUAGUGCAUGGUUGUGGCAAGACUUGUCAGGGCACCCAAGUAAAAUUCUGCUAAGUUACUGUGUCUUUUAUAAUCAAAUUGCCAUAAAAACACCCUACUACUGAUGCCUGGAAGCAUUUCUGUAUACCUCAAUAGUGCAAGAUGGGAAGGGCUUAAGCAUUAACAAGCAAGACCAAAAGCAGUCUCAGGAAUAGAAUUUUUAUUAGUGUCUUCAUAUUGCUGAACUUUAAAAAAGUAUUGGAUGGUACUUACAUAAACAUAAAGUACUCUUAAUACCUCUCCCAUCCUUACAUAAUGUACGGUUUUGGAAAUCUUCUUAAAAGGUAAAGUGAUUUGUUCAUGGUCUGGAGGCUGACAAGAUGCGUAAAAUCAAAGUAAUUGUUAGCUUUUCACUAACAAAUGUUUGUUGUUAAAGGCUACGGUAGCUGAUGUGAUUGGUUACUUUCACAGUAUCUUAUUUACAAUAAAAUGUCUGAUAGUGAAUCAGUUAUAAACCAAACUUUGUUCUGAGCAUGUGUUGAAUAGUGGGCAGAGACGUUUAAGAGGCAAUAGUGGGAUGAAAGGUGGUUAGGCUUCAUAGAACCAUAAAUUACUGUUUCCAUUGAAAUCUGGGCAAAAGACUCAUUAUAAAACUGUACACUGUACUGUUCAUUGCUGGAAAUUUCCUGGAGAUUGAUAGCACAGCUUGGUGAUUAAACAUUUAAAAAGCCUGAUUUGCUUGGCGUAAUGGCUUCAAGGAUGGCCGUAAAUGGACAGGAAAUAAAAUCUAUGAAAGUCUUCCAAAGACAAUCGCUAACACCAUUCAUGAUCUCGUUAAUGGAAAUGCUUAUAUUUUUGAAUUUUUUUCUCGUCGCUGAUUUGAAGUUAUAGGUGCUCGGCUGGAGUGGCAUUUUUGUAUAUAAAUUUCUUUUCUUGAAUGUCACUCUGUAUAAUUGUGAUCUUUGGGUAAGGUUAAGAAUUCCUUGUUGCAGUAAUUGUUGCAGCCAACUAAUACAAGAAAUCACCAUUCACAGCAAUACCACCUCAGUACUGCAGUUCUCAUUUGUCUGAAAUUGGGAGAAUGAAAUGGCUUCUAUUUGGCCAUCUUCCAUCUUAUCAUACUUAUCUCUCAGUGAUUUUCAUCUCUUUGGAUGUGAAGAGUUACCAGCUGUGGAAGAAUUUGCACAAUAUGCUGCUUUAAUGUUUGCAGUUAAAAUUUUGGGAGACAUCAUUACAAGUUACUGACAUAAGCCCUGGUGGCUGAAUGGACAUACAGUCUGAGGAACCUCUGGAAAUUACUGUUGUCCAAAAGGUAUGUUUACUGAGUCUUUUACAAAUUUGUUGCUGUUGUCACAGUGUACCAAAGACAAGCCUCAUUUUGAGACAAAAAUCAGUUCUUUUAUCAGAUUAAUUUGUUUUUUACUUUUGAAUACAUUGUGGGAGUGAACAGUGAUCAAUGUAGUUACAAAUAUUUACUAUGAAAAACAGUCUUGAUCACAAAUUAUUUAUUCCGAUGACUGGUUUCGACUCCAACCGUGAUCAUCUUCAGACCAAUGAGUAAGAACCACCUCCUGAUGGUAAAUCACUACUCUCUGAUUUACCAUCAGAAGGAAGUUCUUACUCAUUGGUCUGAAGAUGACCACAGUUGUGGUCGAAACUGGUCACCGGAAUAAAUAAUUUAUGAUCAAGACUGUUUUUGAUAGUAAAUAAUUUGUUUUUGCCUGCUGCUUUGACAGUUUAUUUCAUAAUUUUUCUGACGAACACAUUAUUUCAUUGUACUAAGAUUAAAGCUUUGGGCUGCAAUAAUACUAUUUUGUGUAUUUCCUACUACCAAGUACAGAUCUCAUAAAUUUAUUUCCUAUUGUUGAAUCAAUACUCAAUAGUGUACGAAUUAAUUGGGAAAAGUUCAUAUUUUACAAGGAAUUGAAGUUGGUUACCUGUAACAAAGUUUAUCAGCCCAAUUGUUGGACUACUGCUGCCUUGAUUGUGAACAACAGUUGUAGGUCCUCCCUCCAGUUCAAUUGAGUGCUUGUAUGUGUAGCAACAUUCUGUGCUAUUUCUGUGUUCUCGAGAGGAAAACUAAAAUGGAUAUUUCACCCAAUAAGUGGGCAAAAAUACUUGCCCUUCAUGAACAAACAUUUAUGAUUGUAGGAGACAUUGCUUCUGUUGUUGGUGUGGAGAAAGUCUAAUGUUUAAGGGGUUACUAGGGCAUACAGUGGUACUGCCUCAUUGUCUCCAAAGAGAAAAGGCAAAUGUGGAUGAAAACAAAAAAACCAUUUAUAGAACUGACAAAACUCUACUUGGAAACAGUAGAAUUCAUCCUUACAAGACAUGUAAGGACUUUCAGGGAUAUUUAUUGGCUACUUGGGUUGAAACUGAGUCUUUAAUGGUACAGUGUAGGCUUCUUGAUUGUGGGUCAAAGGCACAAAAGCCAGUAAAGUAGCAGUUGUUAAAAGCACGAAGAAGAAACUUUUGGCAUGGGCCAAAUUAUAAAACUAUUGGACCUCCAGUAAUUGGGAAGUGUAAUUUCAUUGUUGAGCCCCACUUUGUUGAAGGAUACAGAGCAAGGGUUGUCAGGUGAAGCAGAUGUGGGACAAUGAGAGCUGAGAAUCUGGAACAGACUGUAAAAUACCCUCCCAAAAGAAAUGUUUGGGGGUUUCUUCAUGGCAAGUGGCCCUGGGGCACUAGUUCCAGUUGAUGGCAUGUUGAAGUCAUCCAGGUGCAUGGAAAUCCUUAGCACAGGAGUGUACCAUUCCUACUGACCUUCGCAGGUGGUUAAGGAAAAUUUCAACAUGAGGUAGUGCUGUGUAUUAUAAAGCACUCAGGACUUUCAUGGAAGAAAACAGUAAUGGUGUUUCAUUGACCUGGUAAUUCACCACACAUCAGUCCCAUCAAGAGUCUGUGGAGUAUUGUCAAAGGGCAUCUUCGUAAAAUAGACUGUACAGCAAAAGUAUGCAUAUUAGUAAAUGUAGUAAAAGUGUAGUUUCUAGACAGAGUGUACAAAAAUGUACUCUAACCUAGUCAAAUCCUUGCCUCAGCAUAUUCAGAAGCUCAUUAAAACAAAAGGAGCACAAAUUAGUUAUUAACAUUUGGUAAGCUACUACUGCAUUACACAUAUAGUAUAAAUGGGCACAAUUAAAAGUUUGUCUUGUUCCAAUUAAUUUGCACACUGUUGUACACUACCUGACAAGAGUGAACCACACAGAAGGAGAGGAGGAAACAAAAUGAUGUUUCACGGAUUGAGAGGGAAUGUGAUGCUAUUUCAGUGAUUACAAAAUUAAGUCAAAUUUACAAAGAAUUGGGCAAUAUGAGCCCACCUAUUAGUAUUGUAUUGGCUCUGGACUGGAUGCAUACACUAUUGUGGUUGGGAAGAGUGUCAUGAAGCUGUUGUAUGUUCUCCUGAGACAAGCUGGCCCACAACUGUUGUAGCUGAUCCCUGAUACGCUGAAAACCGGUACUGAGAUGGAGGUGAUGUCUGAGCUGGUCCAACACUUUUUCUAUCGGGAGCAGGGUUGGAGAUCUUGGUGGCUAUGGGAGUAUGUCAGCAUCAUGCACACAGUUCAUGAAGAUGUGUUGUAUGUGGAUAAAUAUUGUCCAUUCAAAAAUGACACCACAGAGCCUCUCCAGAUCACCAGAUGAAUGGCGCCUCUUUCUGGGAUGCCGAGAAAUGUCAUCCAGUUAGGGCACAACCACAAUUCAUCGCUGAACAGUGCAACACCAUUUAUCAGCAGUCUGUACUGCCCAGUCAUAGCCCUAGCCCAAAUGUAGCCAUUUGUGUUGUGUUACCAACGGGCUAUAGACGGAGUAAUAAUUCCCUAGUCCACCUGCUACUAGCCUCCGACCAAUGGUGCAGGAAAACGUAGAAUGUUGCAGGCAGACCACUACUUGUUUUCGUAGACAGGUGGCAAAGGGUUUAUGAUGUGCCUGGUUCAGAAUACAGCAGUCCUCCCUUGUGGCAGAUGUGGUAGAUGGUAACUUCGAUGACAAAUAUAGUUGGUCUUUUGUUCUUGUUUGGACGUUAUUGAACCACUGUCACAUCUUGACGCCCCACAAAUCUAGAUAUUACAUAGUUUGACCAGCUGGCCCAACAGAGACCUAUAAUGAACCCCUUUCAAACUCUGUCAGGUGCUGAUAAUGCUGUCUGACAUUAGUAUGUGGCAUCUGUGCCCUUCAUAAUGACUACUGAACAUCUGAUGCUAUUCAGCUUAUAUAACCUACCAGGUAUGGUAACAGCAGUAAAAAUGAACAAAACUAAUGCACUCUGAAUGUUCUACCUCCCACAGAGAAACCAACUCAAGUCACUUAAGUACACUACUGGCCAUUAAAAUUGCUACACCACGAAGAUGACGUGCUACAGACGCGAAAUUUAACCGACAGGAAGAAGAUGCUGUGAUAUGCAAAUGAUUAGCUUUUCAGGGCUUUACACAAGACUGACAUGAGGAAAGUUUCCAACCGAUUUCUCAUACACGAACAGCAGCUGACCGGCGUUGCCUGCUGUAACGUUGUUGCGAUGCCUCGUGUAAGGAGGAGAAAUACGUACCAUCACGUUUCCGACCUUGAUAAAGGUCGGAUUGUAGCCUAUCGCAAUUGCGGUUUAUCGUAUCGAGACAUUACUGCUUGCGUUGGUCGAGAUCAAAUGACUGUUAGCAGAAAAUGGAAUUGGUGGGUUCAGGAGGGUAAUAUGGGAUGCCGUGCCGGAUCCCAAUGGCCUCGUAUCACUAGCAGUCAAGAUGACGGGCAUCUUAUCUGCAUGGCUGUAACGGAUCGUGCAGUCACGUCUCGAUCCCUGAGUCAACAGAUGGGGACGUUUGCAAGACAACAACCAUAUGCACGAACAGUUUGAAGACGUUUCCAGCAGCAUGGACUACAAGCUCGGAGACCAUGGCUGCGGUUACCCUUGACGCUGCAUCACAGACAGGAGCGCCUGCGAUGGUGUACUCAACGACGGACCUGGGUGCAUGAAUGGCAAAAAGCCAUUUUUUCGGAUGAAUCCAGGUUCUGUUUACAGCAUCAUGAUGGUCGCAUGCAUGUUUGGCGACAUCGCAGUGAACGCACAUUGGAAGCGUGUAUUCGUCAUCACCCUACUGGCGUCUCACCCAGUGUGAUGGUAUGGGGUGCUAUUGGUUACACGUCUCGGCCAUCUCUUGUUCGCAUUGGCGGGUGAUGGGUUAAGACCCAUGGCUCUACCCUUCAUUCGAUCCCUGCGAAACCCUACAUUUCAGCAGGAUAAUGCACACCCACUUGUUGCAGAUCCUGUACGGUCCUUUCUAGAUACAGAAAAUGUUAGACUGCUGUCCUGGCCAGCACAUUCUCCAGAUCUCUCACCAAUUGAAAACGUCUGGUCAAUGGUGGCCGAGCAACUGGCUCAUCACAAUACGCCAGUCACUACUCUUGAUGAACUGUGGUAUCGUGUUGAAACUGCAUGGGCAGCUCUACCAGUACACGCCAUCCAAGCUGUUUGACUCAAUGCCCAGGCAUAUCAAGGCUGUUAUUACGGCCAGAGGUGGUUGUUCUGGGUACUGAUUUCCCAGGAUCUAUGCACCCAAAUUGCAUGAAAAUGUAAUCACAUGUCAGUUGUAGUAUAAUAUAUUUGUCCAAUGAAUACCCGUUUAUCAUCUGCAUUUCUUCUUGGUGUAGCCAUUUUAAUUGCCAGUAGUGUACUUGCUGAUGAUGUCUACAUGCAGGAAGUUAGUGCCACUGACCAAGUCUUCCAAAUGCUUUUGUUUCCCCUGGCAUUGUAUAUAAAAGAUCCCAUUUAGUCAUAUAAUUAUUUUUUAUUUAUGAGCAACAGCACUUUUGUUACAUUUGCAAUAUGUAUAUUUGUACUGGUCAAUGUUUUGUGAUGAAUAAAAUCUCAAUUGAAGAAACUGACUUUGUGUUGCUUUUUCCUCAGUGUCUCUUGUUGUCUAGUAAUAAUUAGUAUUGUAAGUUAAGAUAGACUGAAAAAUGUCUUAUUGAAGAAGAAACGUAAAAUAACUGAAUGAGAAACAAUGGUUUCUGGUAAACUUUAAAGCCUCUUUGCUGACCACAACUUGGUAAUGUCUUCACAGUUUGAAUUGCAUAAAAGCUUAUUUAGAAAGAACCAUUUUUGUUCAUGCUGAAAUAAGAAUAAUUGCCUCAUUGGUGUUACAUGUAAGAUGAAAUUUUGCUGUGGUCACUAUUGAUAUGAAGACACAUUGCAUGCUUGGGAGUCAUAUUCUGUAACAGAGGAUUCUAGUACAUAACAAAUUACGCAAAAAUAAAACUAGGAAUGGAGGACAUAAUGCAUUUUAGCAAGGAUUUUUAAAACUAACUUUGUGUUAAAUGUGUAGUGCAGAUGGGAACCCAAGACAUUUUGAAAAAGCAGAGAGCUGAUGUAUUGUGGACAAUUUCUUCGAAUUCUUAGCAACUAAACAGAACUUACUUUCUUGAAAUCUACUUCAGUGACUACACACAAAAUGUGAUGUUAUGUUUAAUACCUUGU
This is a long non-coding RNA of Schistocerca cancellata (South American locust), 12047 nucleotides long. RefSeq lists it as uncharacterized. The transcript has 6 exons. NCBI's taxonomy places the organism in Eukaryota, Metazoa, Arthropoda, Insecta, Orthoptera, Acrididae. The record is from RefSeq and is a predicted model, not a curated record.